GCACUGCUGAGGAGUCCCAAAAUAGGACGGGAUGGCCGUCCAGUGC
This is a non-coding RNA of Schistosoma mattheei, 46 nucleotides long. The record is from Rfam. Lineage: Eukaryota; Metazoa; Platyhelminthes; Trematoda; Strigeidida; Schistosomatidae.